GGGGGUGCUUGGGGCUUUCAGUAAUCUGCGAAGACCGAGGGGAUGCUUCAGUUCUCCAAGUCCCUCCCUCUAGUGAUCUUCGUAAGGGAACUAGUGCAGAUUAAUGCUUCCCGGCGCCUGAUUUUCUUGUGACUUGGUGGUUUGACUCGGUUGCCACAUGUUUGGGGAAUAAUUGUCAAUAAGCCCUCCAGUGCUGCUUUAUUGUUUUGUCUCUUUCUGCACAAGGAUCUAAAAUGGUGACAUUAUAUCAAAUACAGGAACAUUCUCUUAAUUUCCUAAGCUUCACGCCCCCUUCCUAUCAAAUGCCAAAAUUCAGGCCCCUUACUAUGGGUGCUACUAAUUAUUCUUGUACUACUUAACAUGGUUUGAGGUCUAACUGUGUAGAACUCCUUAUCCAGGUACUUUCAGGCUCUCUGUUGCCGCAGUGGACUACAAUUCUUACAGAGAAUUGGCGUCUGGCGAUCAACUUUUUUCCUGCAGUCCUCUUGUCUUUGUGUGUGAGUUCCCGCUGUCUGGCUGGGAAGAUUGCGGGAGUGUGCUUGGAAAUGGCUGGGGCCUGCUAUGACUCUGCAGUUCUGAUGGGGGCGACGCCUUCCUUCUUAUUCAUGGAAUGUUAGAAUGCACGUUUUCUCCUUU
This 636-nucleotide long non-coding RNA is filed under the name Bos taurus (domestic cattle). RNAcentral describes it as "long non-coding RNA NONBTAT001317". Lineage: Eukaryota; Metazoa; Chordata; Mammalia; Artiodactyla; Bovidae. The record is from RNAcentral.